This 572-nucleotide ribosomal RNA is filed under the name uncultured bacterium. RNAcentral describes it as "partial 16S ribosomal RNA". It matches the Rfam family "Bacterial small subunit ribosomal RNA", at positions 355 to 922 of the family's 1533-position model. The record is from RNAcentral.
UGGGGAAUUUUGGACAAUGGGCGAAAGCCUGAUCCAGCAAUGCCGCGUGUGUGAAGAAGGCCUUCGGGUUGUAAAGCACUUUUGUCCGGAAAGAAAUCCUUGGCUCUAAUACAGUCGGGGGAUGACGGUACCGGAAGAAUAAGCACCGGCUAACUACGUGCCAGCAGCCGCGGUAAUACGUAGGGUGCAAGCGUUAAUCGGAAUUACUGGGCGUAAAGCGUGCGCAGGCGGUUUGCUAAGACCGAUGUGAAAUCCCCGGGCUCAACCUGGGAACUGCAUUGGUGACUGGCAGGCUAGAGUAUGGCAGAGGGGGGUAGAAUUCCACGUGUAGCAGUGAAAUGCGUAGAGAUGUGGAGGAAUACCGAUGGCGAAGGCAGCCCCCUGGGCAAUACUGACGCUCAUGCACGAAAGCGUGGGGAGCAAACAGGAUUAGAUACCCUGGUAGUCCACGCCCUAAACGAUGUCAACUAGUUGUUGGGGAUCAUUUCCUUAGUAACGUAGCUAACGCGUGAAGUUGACCGCCUGGGGAGUACGGUCGCAAGAUUAAAACUCAAAUGAAUUGACGGGGUCAU